UACGUAGGGUGCAAGCGUUGUCCGGAAUUAUUGGGCGUAAAGAGCUCGUAGGCGGUCUGUCGCGUCUGCUGUGAAAACUCAGGGCUUAACCCUGAGCUUGCAGUGGGUACGGGCAGACUAGAGGUGCGGUAGGGGAGACUGGAAUUCCUGGUGUAGCGGUGAAAUGCGCAGAUAUCAGGGAGGAACACCGGUGGCGAAAGGCGGGUCUCUGGGCCGUAACUGACGCUGGAGGAGCGGAAAAGCAUGGG
RNAcentral lists this ribosomal RNA (248 nucleotides) under uncultured bacterium. RNAcentral describes it as "partial 16S ribosomal RNA". It matches the Rfam family "Bacterial small subunit ribosomal RNA", at positions 524 to 765 of the family's 1533-position model. The record is from RNAcentral.